UCAGGCAAUAUCAUUUCAGCACAAAACUGUCAUUAUGUAUGAGAGACUGCUAGGAGUGGACCACUGCAGCUCUAUAUCAGCCUAUUUCCAUUUGGCUUAGUAUUGCUGUGGGGCUGAGAGGAAUGUUGUGGCGUUGAGAUUACUGUAUAGAGUUAUGUAUCUAAUAAUGUUAACACUUGGUGAGGAUCAUCCUGAAAUGUCUAAUGUUGAUUUUUACAUUGGUUUACUACU
Long non-coding RNA from Amphimedon queenslandica, 231 nucleotides. RefSeq lists it as uncharacterized. Lineage: Eukaryota; Metazoa; Porifera; Demospongiae; Haplosclerida; Niphatidae. The record is from RefSeq and is a predicted model, not a curated record. The transcript has 3 exons.